UGACCACUACAGAGAAAAUUUGCGUGGUCCCAGCACAAGGACGACAUGCAAGUUAGUGAAGUGUGCCAUAUUAAA
Small nuclear RNA from Ursus americanus (American black bear), 75 nucleotides. The record is from Ensembl. NCBI's taxonomy places the organism in Eukaryota, Metazoa, Chordata, Mammalia, Carnivora, Ursidae.